Non-coding RNA from Nicotiana tabacum (common tobacco), 1562 nucleotides. The record is from RefSeq and is a predicted model, not a curated record. NCBI's taxonomy places the organism in Eukaryota, Viridiplantae, Streptophyta, Magnoliopsida, Solanales, Solanaceae.
CAAAUUUUCUUGUAGUUAUAUGGAUUUUUCACAGGAGAUCAGUAAAUUAUAACACAUGAAAUUGGUAAAUAAAACACAUGAGAUUCUUUAUAGCCCCAAUUAUGUACUACAUUUGGCUGCACUAACAGGUAAUGUUAGUGAACAUGAAUCAUGUUACAUGAUUUGGUGUUGAUGGGUUUAAUUACAAUUUUUUUGUGUUUGGACAAGAGGGAGAAACUAGUUUAGGAGAAUAUAAUUGGGAAUGAUGCAUUUAGUGCUUUAGCUUGGAAGAGAUAAACUGUAACUGGGUUUUAAGAUCAUACAUUGUUGAGCAGAAAUUAGUCAUUUUUCCUUAGAACAAAACAAGUAUAGAAAAUUGAAUAAGGUAAAUGUAAAGAGUUUACUUGUAUUCUUGUCAUAUUUUUGUAUAGAAGUAGCCAACGAUGACUUUGAUUUUAACCUAAUGGAUUGUUGUUUCAUACAUUUCCCGGUUACAUAAUCAGGCUUUGACAUCAUAGCUCUUUUAUUAGGAUACUCAUAUGGCAUUUUUACUCACACAUUGACAUUUAAAACAUUGCAUAUCUCUAUGUCUAGUGGGAAUAGGUAGAGCAUCUGUACUUUUGCCCUUGUCAUCCUUCUAUCCAUUGCCUUUGUAAACUUGUAGCUUAAGCUUGCUUCUCAUCUUCGGGCGUGUUUUAAGUUCUUUGCAAAUGUAUUUUGGCUUGUCCCAUGUUGAUGAAGUUUGUUUGCCUUUUUCUUGAUUUGUUCUACCAUUUGGCAUGCCAAAUGCAAUGCUUAAUCUUAAUUGUUCUCUAAAAUCAUUUCAUGAACUCUCUCUCUUGCACAAACACACACAACAUAUAUGUAUAACUUUAUUGAUUCACUGUAAUCAUUAAACUUCUUAUCGGUCUUGGCAGUUUAAUGGAACUCCUGAAAAACCAAGACUUUCAGUCUUCUGCUCAGAAAAACAGUUAUAUGCUACAUUGGUGGAUGACCAAAAUAAGAAGUCUUUAUUUUACGGGAGCACUUUGCAACAAUCAAUCCGGGGUGAUCCACCAUGCAGCACUGUAGUGAGAAGCAGCGGAACGUGUUGUUGAGAAACUUGUGCAGACUUGUGUUGAUCUCAACAUCAAUGAGAUUUCAUCUUAUGAUUGCAAUGGUUUUGCUCGAGGAGAAAGAAUGCAAGCGUUUGAGAUUGCCAUUUCUCGCCAUGGUUUCCUGCCCAGAUAGUUUCUUCCUUUCUUUUCUAUGUGAAUUAUUUAUAGCCUUCAGAAGUCUGAAGCUUUCUUAUAGGGGCUAGGGAUGGCAAUAGGACAGGGCAGGGCGGGGCAGGUGAAGCAUUGCCCUGCCCCAAAUUCAACACGCCCUACCCUGUUUAACAAUGUUUCUCUUUUUCAACCUGCCCCGCCCCGCCCUGCCCUGUCCCGUUUAGCUUUUUUGUUUCUUCCUUUCUUUUAAGUUUGGAAUUGUAACUAUUCAUCUUAUUAUAAAAAGAAGGCGUAAUGGCUUCCUGGCCACUUAAACUUGUACCGGAUUUUAAAGCCGAUAUAUAAACUUACAUUAUUCUCAUUUGAACACUCGAA